This 112-nucleotide ribosomal RNA is filed under the name Caerostris darwini. The record is from RNAcentral. Lineage: Eukaryota; Metazoa; Arthropoda; Arachnida; Araneae; Araneidae.
AACGGCCGUACCAUGCUGAAUAUACCGGUUCUCGUUAGAUCACCGAAGUUAAGCAGCAUUGGGCGCGGUCAGUACUUGGGUGGGUGACCACCUGGGAACACCGCGUGCCGUU